UGAGAAAUGUACCGAACAUUCGAUGUAAAGACGAAAUUUGAAUGUAAAUUGACAUUCAUUUGGAUGUGAUUCUACAUCUCCUUGAUAUUACGCAGGUUCAGAUCUAUAAGUUUCCAUUUACGUUGCAGUUGUGUAAUAUUCGCAUGUCAAAGCGAUGAAUAAUUACACACAAUCAUAUGCAACCCAUUAACUCAAAAGUGUUGUGUGAAAUUACACAACUUUGGAUGUGAUAUGACAAUCAUUCACUACGCAAUAUUGUAUAUUGGCAACACUGACCUAUCUCUCGUCUCCUGUCGUCGCUUGCCGUGAGUGCGCCAUUUUUUCUUUGGUUCUCUGCUGAUUUUCCUUCGAUCAGAGCAUAAAAUCUGUGCAAAUUGUGGUAAAUUGAUGGGACGCGACCAGUAUUAAAACUCCUUAUAGUGACCUGGGUAAACGAAGCUUCUACUACUAAUCUCAAUUUCAUACGGAUUUAUGGAACAUCGCUAGACGAUACGCUGUUCAGUCGAGGACAAGGUGAGAAGCCCUCGGAGGAGCCAUUAGAGAUGAAUCAAAACAAAAAUAACUGUCCAGCGAUGAUCCUGUUUCGGACUAGUAUCAUGUACGAUUCGAGUGACAGUAGGUACCCUUAGGUACCAAACAUGGGAUUUAAACUAUUCCGGGUGUCUGAUAGUAUCAUGCUGCUGCACAACCGACCAGCAACAUUCGUCAUUAGAAA
This is a long non-coding RNA of Armigeres subalbatus, 715 nucleotides long. RefSeq lists it as uncharacterized. NCBI's taxonomy places the organism in Eukaryota, Metazoa, Arthropoda, Insecta, Diptera, Culicidae. The record is from RefSeq and is a predicted model, not a curated record. The transcript has 2 exons.